AGAGUUUGAUCAUGGCUCAGAUUGAACGCUGGCGGCAGGCCUAACACAUGCAAGUCGAGCGGUAGCACAGAGAGCUUGCUCUCGGGUGACGAGCGGCGGACGGGUGAGUAAUGUCUGGGAAACUGCCUGAUGGAGGGGGAUAACUACUGGAAACGGUAGCUAAUACCGCAUAAUGUCGCAAGACCAAAGUGGGGGACCUUCGGGCCUCAUGCCAUCAGAUGUGCCCAGAUGGGAUUAGCUAGUAGGUGGGGUAACGGCUCACCUAGGCGACGAUCCCUAGCUGGUCUGAGAGGAUGACCAGCCACACUGGAACUGAGACACGGUCCAGACUCCUACGGGAGGCAGCAGUGGGGAAUAUUGCACAAUGGGCGCAAGCCUGAUGCAGCCAUGCCGCGUGUGUGAAGAAGGCCUUCGGGUUGUAAAGCACUUUCAGCGGGGAGGAAGGCGGUGAGGUUAAUAACCUCAUCGAUUGACGUUACCCGCAGAAGAAGCACCGGCUAACUCCGUGCCAGCAGCCGCGGUAAUACGGAGGGUGCAAGCGUUAAUCGGAAUUACUGGGCGUAAAGCGCACGCAGGCGGUCUGUCAAGUCGGAUGUGAAAUCCCCGGGCUCAACCUGGGAACUGCAUUCGAAACUGGCAGGCUAGAGUCUUGUAGAGGGGGGUAGAAUUCCAGGUGUAGCGGUGAAAUGCGUAGAGAUCUGGAGGAAUACCGGUGGCGAAGGCGGCCCCCUGGACAAAGACUGACGCUCAGGUGCGAAAGCGUGGGGAGCAAACAGGAUUAGAUACCCUGGUAGUCCACGCCGUAAACGAUGUCGAUUUGGAGGUUGUGCCCUUGAGGCGUGGCUUCCGGAGCUAACGCGUUAAAUCGACCGCCUGGGGAGUACGGCCGCAAGGUUAAAACUCAAAUGAAUUGACGGGGGCCCGCACAAGCGGUGGAGCAUGUGGUUUAAUUCGAUGCAACGCGAAGAACCUUACCUGGUCUUGACAUCCACAGAACUUUCCAGAGAUGGUUUGGUGCCUUCGGGAACUGUGAGACAGGUGCUGCAUGGCUGUCGUCAGCUCGUGUUGUGAAAUGUUGGGUUAAGUCCCGCAACGAGCGCAACCCUUAUCCUUUGUUGCCAGCGGUCCGGCCGGGAACUCAAAGGAGACUGCCAGUGAUAAACUGGAGGAAGGUGGGGAUGACGUCAAGUCAUCAUGGCCCUUACGACCAGGGCUACACACGUGCUACAAUGGCAUAUACAAAGAGAAGCGACCUCGCGAGAGCAAGCGGACCUCAUAAAGUAUGUCGUAGUCCGGAUUGGAGUCUGCAACUCGACUCCAUGAAGUCGGAAUCGCUAGUAAUCGUAGAUCAGAAUGCUACGGUGAAUACGUUCCCGGGCCUUGUACACACCGCCCGUCACACCAUGGGAGUGGGUUGCAAAAGAAGUAGGUAGCUUAACCUUCGGGAGGGCGCUUACCACUUUGUGAUUCAUGACUGGGGUGAAGUCGUAACAAGGUAACCGUAGGGGAACCUGCGGUUGGAUCACCU
This 1528-nucleotide ribosomal RNA is filed under the name Klebsiella pneumoniae. RNAcentral describes it as "bacterial SSU rRNA". It matches the Rfam family "Bacterial small subunit ribosomal RNA". Lineage: Bacteria; Pseudomonadati; Pseudomonadota; Gammaproteobacteria; Enterobacterales; Enterobacteriaceae. The record is from RNAcentral.